This 172-nucleotide ribosomal RNA is filed under the name uncultured Alphaproteobacteria bacterium. Its description in RNAcentral is "partial 16S ribosomal RNA". It matches the Rfam family "Bacterial small subunit ribosomal RNA", at positions 335 to 524 of the family's 1533-position model. Lineage: Bacteria; Pseudomonadati; Pseudomonadota; Alphaproteobacteria. The record is from RNAcentral.
ACUCCUACGGGAGGCAGCAGCAGGGAAUAUUGCACAAUGGGCGCAAGCCUGAUGCAGCCAUGCCGCGUGAGUGAAGAAGGCCCUAGGGUUGUAAAACUCUUUCACCAGGGAAGAUAAUGACGUUACCUGGAGAAGAAGCCCCGGCCAACUACGUGCCAGCAGCCGCGGUAAU